Molecule: non-coding RNA, 186 nt
Filed under: Polycyclovorans sp.
Lineage: Bacteria; Pseudomonadati; Pseudomonadota; Gammaproteobacteria; Nevskiales; Nevskiaceae
Description: 6S RNA
Rfam family: 6S / SsrS RNA
About the family: E. coli 6S RNA was the first non coding RNA to be sequenced, but its function was unknown until recently. It consists of 184 nucleotides that fold into an extended hairpin structure with a large single-stranded internal bulge.
Source: RNAcentral
UGUCUCCUGCCAUGUUGGUUAAUUAGCUCCCAACCCCUUGAGCCUAUUUGCAAAAAACCGGGAGCCGGACCACGCUAGGCGUGCAGGCCCGCCUUUGCAGCGGGAAGCCCAAAAGCGUGAAAACGCACCCACUUGAGACGCACGUCUCAAGGUGACCGAGCCAAUGACGGCAUGUGCGGGAGACAC